This 337-nucleotide long non-coding RNA is filed under the name Apteryx owenii (little spotted kiwi). Its description in RNAcentral is "lncRNA (ENSAOWG00000006527.1)". Lineage: Eukaryota; Metazoa; Chordata; Aves; Apterygiformes; Apterygidae. The record is from RNAcentral.
UUCCAUGUAAAAAGAGUCCCUGAGAGAGAGCGUGGGAGCUCUGAGGCUGUUACUGAUGUGCCGCUGACAAUGCAGAGAACAAGAUGAUGACAUCAUAAAACAGAAAACUGAAGUGACUAAUGCAAGUGAUAAUGAGGAGAAACCAUGUGCUGAUCCAGCUGUCCACACAUCAUUAAGGAGUCCUUUCUGGAUCACAGUUUCUUAUUUUGGAGAGGGUUCUUCCACAUCUUCCACUGUCCUUCUGCCUCAGAUGCUUGUCCAAAGGAAGAUUAAAGUUAUGUUUGAAUAUCAUGAGACACUGAUUGAUUUUUCUAGCAGAAAAUCCACAUAUUAUUGA